GAUGAACGCUGGCGGCGUGCUUAACACAUGCAAGUCGAACGGGAAAUAUUUCAUUGAGACUUCGGUGGAUUUGAACUAUUUCUAGUGGCGGACGGGUGAGUAACGCGUGGGUAACCUGCCUUAUACAGGGGGAUAACAGUCAGAAAUGGCUGCUAAUACCGCAUAAGCGCACAGAGCUGCAUGGCUCAGUGUGAAAAACUCCGGUGGUAUAAGAUGGACCCGCGUUGGAUUAGCUUGUUGGUGGGGUAACGGCCCACCAAAGCGACGAUCAGUAGCCGACCUGAGAGGGUGACCGGCCACAUUGGGACUGAGACACGGCCCAGACUCCUACGGGAGCAGCAGUGGGGAAUAUUGCACAAUGGGGGAAACCCUGAUGCAGCGACGCCGCGUGGAGGAAGAAGGUCUUCGGAUUGUAAACUCCUGUUGUUGAGGAAGAUAAUGACGGUACUCAACAAGGAAGUGACGGCUAACUACGUGCCAGCAGCCG
RNAcentral lists this ribosomal RNA (487 nucleotides) under uncultured bacterium. Its description in RNAcentral is "bacterial SSU rRNA". It matches the Rfam family "Bacterial small subunit ribosomal RNA", at positions 28 to 517 of the family's 1533-position model. The record is from RNAcentral.